GCUUACGGCCAUACCAGCCUGAAUACGCCCGAUCUCGUCCGAUCUCGGAAGCUAAGCAGGGUCGGGCCUGGUUAGUACUUGGAUGGGAGACCGCCUGGGAAUACCAGGUGCUGUAAGUG
Molecule: ribosomal RNA, 119 nt
Filed under: Oncorhynchus mykiss (rainbow trout)
Lineage: Eukaryota; Metazoa; Chordata; Actinopteri; Salmoniformes; Salmonidae
Source: RNAcentral